Molecule: long non-coding RNA, 1225 nt
Organism: Monopterus albus (swamp eel)
Lineage: Eukaryota; Metazoa; Chordata; Actinopteri; Synbranchiformes; Synbranchidae
Exons: 4
Source: RefSeq, a predicted model, not a curated record
AAGUGAGCUCCCCCGCUGGCCACUGGUGGUUUGGCCCACUUUAGGUUUCUACUAGGAAGUUAUACAAGGAGUGGUUGCAUCAGGUGUAGGUUUUUGCCAGUAAACCAAGAAGAAGGUUUAGAGUGUUCCUUCUCAUGGAGCUACAAUAAAAGCCCAGACAACAACUGAACUAAUAUUUAUCUCCAUUUCCCCACAUGUCCAUGGGCCAUCAUGAUGAGUCAGCAAACAUCCAACAGACACCAAUCAACAUUAGCAUUCAUUUGGAGUUGUGCUUGUGCCCACCUGACACAUUGAGCCAGGCCUUGGGCUGCCAGCGGAGGAUGUGAAGCCAAGCCAGGGAGCCGAGGCCACUGUCAACUCUCAGUGGUUAGAAUAACCCAGUAAAGCCUCCUGGGAACUGAGCUGGGACCGGGCCAAUGCUGGCGAAGAGAAAGAGUGAGAGGUCAGCACAAGCAGGUGGAGCAUAAAUACUCAGCAUGCUCACAGCCAACAAUAGCUGCCAUCCAUCUCUGCAGUUGCAAAGUCACUCCCAAGAAGCCACAGCCAUUGUUGUCAAAACCAAAGUGGAAAGGUAAGGCUUACAGCCGCCUGUCACCUGAGAGCACCCAGGGCCCAUCCACGUGUUCACCGCAGGCACAAGUGGGGCUCUACAACUGACACAAAGGCUGGCAGGGAAGAGGACAAGGAAGUGCAGUGGAUGGAGGACAAUAGAGGAGUUAACACAAGGGCCCUCAUUUGUUUUUCCCCUCAUCAAACUGUUUUCACCUGGGCUGCACGGAGUCAGACCCUCUCCUGAAAACUGCCAUACUAUAGCAUAUCGUAAUAAUGGGGUCUGACCACCUCCCAUAAAAUGUCUUACUGUAGUAUAUCGUAAAAAUGAAGUCCAACCCUAUCCUGAAAAAAAUGCCUUACUAUAUAUAGUAUGUGGUAAACUACCUACUGUAGUCCACACCAGCUAUUGACUGCACCCUGACAAGGAAACAAACCCCAGCCUGCUGUGCCAAAGUCACCGCUGAGUUAUCCGCCCACUGUAUAGGCACACAUUUAGAACUUUUACUUGUUUCUGCUACUGGUCAAUAGGGCUUAGCGUCUGGAAAAUUGUAAAAAGGCUGUAGGACAGAGCUAGCAAGUGAGUGAUGUCCCCGACUCUAGCUUGUCUCAUUCAAAUUAAUGGAGAGGCAGAGAAAUGUCCUAAAUCAACAUAAAAACAACCGUGAUAAUUCAA